RNAcentral lists this ribosomal RNA (400 nucleotides) under uncultured bacterium. RNAcentral describes it as "bacterial SSU rRNA". It matches the Rfam family "Bacterial small subunit ribosomal RNA", at positions 355 to 746 of the family's 1533-position model. The record is from RNAcentral.
UGGGGAAUAUUGCGCAAUGGAGGAAACUCUGACGCAGCAACGCCGCGUGUGUGAUGAAGGCCCUAUGGGUUGUAAAGCACUGUUGAGAUAGGAAGAGCAAGCGGAGGCUAAUACCCUUCGUUCCGACGGUACUAUCUGAGGAAGCACCGGCCAACUCUGUGCCAGCAGCCGCGGUAAUACAGAGGGUGCAAGCGUUGUUCGGAAUUAUUGGGCGUAAAGCGUGCGUAGGCGGACGAAUAAGUCUGAUGUGAAAUCCCUUGGCUUAACCGAGGAGCUGCAUUGGAUACUGUUUGUCUUGAGUCUUGGAGAGGAUAGCGGAAUUCCCAGUGUAGAGGUGAAAUUCGUAGAUAUUGGGAGGAACACCAGUGGCGCAAGCGGCUAUCUGGACAAUGACUGACGC